GAUGAACGCUGGCGGCGUGCCUAAUACAUGCAAGUCGAGCGAACAGAUGAGGAGCUUGCUCCUCUGACGUUAGCGGCGGACGGGUGAGUAACACGUGGAUAACCUACCUAUAAGACUGGGAUAACUUCGGGAAACCGGAGCUAAUACCGGAUAAUAUAUUGAACCGCAUGGUUCAAUAGUGAAAGACGGUUUUGCUGUCACUUAUAGAUGGAUCCGCGCUGCAUUAGCUAGUUGGUAAGGUAACGGCUUACCAAGGCAACGAUGCGUAGCCGACCUGAGAGGGUGAUCGGCCACACUGGAACUGAGACACGGUCCAGACUCCUACGGGAGGCAGCAGUAGGGAAUCUUCCGCAAUGGGCGAAAGCCUGACGGAGCAACGCCGCGUGAGUGAUGAAGGUCUUCGGAUCGUAAAACUCUGUUAUUAGGGAAGAACAAAUGUGUAAGUAACUAUGCACGUCUUGACGGUACCUAAUCAGAAAGCCACGGCUAACUACGUG
Molecule: ribosomal RNA, 497 nt
Filed under: uncultured bacterium
Lineage: Bacteria
Description: partial 16S ribosomal RNA
Rfam family: Bacterial small subunit ribosomal RNA
Source: RNAcentral